This 26-nucleotide non-coding RNA is filed under the name Mus musculus (house mouse). Lineage: Eukaryota; Metazoa; Chordata; Mammalia; Rodentia; Muridae. RNAcentral also lists the same sequence under 1 other name. The record is from RNAcentral.
UGACUGCAGCUCCUCAUGACCAGCCC